UACGCCCGAUCUCGUCCGAUCUCGGAAGCUAAGCAGGGUCGGGCCUGGUUAGUACUUGGAUGGGAGACCGCCUGGGAAUACCAGGUGCUGUAAGAUU
RNAcentral lists this ribosomal RNA (97 nucleotides) under Halobatrachus didactylus (Lusitanian toadfish). The record is from RNAcentral. Lineage: Eukaryota; Metazoa; Chordata; Actinopteri; Batrachoidiformes; Batrachoididae.